UACAGAGGUCCCAAGCGUUGUUCGGAUUCACUGGGCGUAAAGGGUGCGUAGGUGGCCAGGUAAGUCUGAUGUGAAAUCUCGGAGCUCAACUCCGAAACUGCAUUGGAUACUAUCUGGCUGGAGGGUCGGAGGGGGGACUGGAAUUCUCGGUGUAGCAGUGAAAUGCGUAGAUAUCGGGAGGAACACCUGUGGCGAAAGCGGCGCACUGGACCAUAACUGACGCUGAGGCGCGAAAGCUAGGGGAGCAAACAGG
This 253-nucleotide ribosomal RNA is filed under the name uncultured prokaryote. RNAcentral describes it as "partial 16S ribosomal RNA". It matches the Rfam family "Bacterial small subunit ribosomal RNA", at positions 524 to 776 of the family's 1533-position model. The record is from RNAcentral.